Molecule: ribosomal RNA, 520 nt
Filed under: uncultured bacterium
Lineage: Bacteria
Description: bacterial SSU rRNA
Rfam family: Bacterial small subunit ribosomal RNA
Source: RNAcentral
AAUAGAUCCCUGGUAGUCCACGCCGUAAACGAUGAGUGCUAAGUGUUAGAGGGUUUCCGCCCUUUAGUGCUGAAGUUAACGCAUUAAGCACUCCGCCUGGGGAGUACGGCCGCAAGGCUGAAACUCAAAGGAAUUGACGGGGGCCCGCACAAGCGGUGGAGCAUGUGGUUUAAUUCGAAGCAACGCGAAGAACCUUACCAGGUCUUGACAUCCUCUGACAACCCUAGAGAUAGGGCUUCUCCUUCGGGAGCAGAGUGACAGGUGGUGCAUGGUUGUCGUCAGCUCGUGUCGUGAGAUGUUGGGUUAAGUCCCGCAACGAGCGCAACCCUUGAUCUUAGUUGCCAUCAUUAAGUUGGGCACUCUAAGGUGACUGCCGGUGACAAACCGGAGGAAGGUGGGGAUGACGUCAAAUCAUCAUGCCCCUUAUGACCUGGGCUACACACGUGCUACAAUGGACGGUACAAAGAGCUGCAAGACCGCGAGGUGGAGCUAAUCUCAUAAAAACCGUUCUCAGUUCGGA